This 497-nucleotide ribosomal RNA is filed under the name uncultured bacterium. Its description in RNAcentral is "partial 16S ribosomal RNA". It matches the Rfam family "Bacterial small subunit ribosomal RNA", at positions 28 to 507 of the family's 1533-position model. The record is from RNAcentral.
GAUGAACGCUGGCGGCGUGCCUAAUACAUGCAAGUCGAGCGAACGGACGAGAAGCUUGCUUUUCUGAUGUUAGCGGCGGACGGGUGAGUAACACGUGGAUAACCUACCUAUAAGACUGGGAUAACUUCGGGAAACCGGAGCUAAUACCGGAUAAUAUUUUGAACCGCAUGGUUCAAAAGUGAAAGACGGUCUUGCUGUCACUUAUAGAUGGAUCCGCGCUGCAUUAGCUAGUUGGUAAGGUAACGGCUUACCAAGGCAACGAUGCAUAGCCGACCUGAGAGGGUGAUCGGCCACACUGGAACUGAGACACGGUCCAGACUCCUACGGGAGGCAGCAGUAGGGAAUCUUCCGCAAUGGGCGAAAGCCUGACGGAGCAACGCCGCGUGAGUGAUGAAGGUCUUCGGAUCGUAAAACUCUGUUAUUAGGGAAGAACAUAUGCGUAAGUAACUGUGCACAUCUUGACGGUACCUAAUCAGAAAGCCACGGCUAACUACGUG